Schistosoma mattheei is the source of this 45-nucleotide non-coding RNA. Lineage: Eukaryota; Metazoa; Platyhelminthes; Trematoda; Strigeidida; Schistosomatidae. The record is from Rfam.
AUCCAGCUUACGAGUCCCAAAUAGGACGUAACAAACAUCCUGGAU